RNAcentral lists this ribosomal RNA (253 nucleotides) under uncultured bacterium. Its description in RNAcentral is "partial 16S ribosomal RNA". It matches the Rfam family "Bacterial small subunit ribosomal RNA", at positions 524 to 776 of the family's 1533-position model. The record is from RNAcentral.
UACGUAGGGUGCAAGCGUUGUCCGGAAUUAUUGGGCGUAAAGAGCUCGUAGGCGGUUUGUCGCGUCUGCUGUGAAAACCCGAGGCUCAACCUCGGGCCUGCAGUGGGUACGGGCAGACUAGAGUGCGGUAGGGGAGAUUGGAAUUCCUGGUGUAGCGGUGGAAUGCGCAGAUAUCAGGAGGAACACCAAUGGCGAAGGCAGAUCUCUGGGCCGUAACUGACGCUGAGGCGCGAAAGCUAGGGGAGCGAACAGG